GGAUUGUACCAAAACCUGGACUUUGGACAUCUGCUACGAAUCGGAGCUCUUUUUUGCGACAAAUGAGUCAUUGGCAGAAUUAGUGGCGUACGGCCGCGCGAACAACGUCAACAGCUUUGGGAUAUUCAACGCCGAUGCCGUAACCAAGACUUGGAAGCUGCAUAGACAAUUCCAGACACUGAGUUUCACGCUGCCUGCUGAUGGGUCCAAAGCACAACCAGUACAAGUGGCCGCUCUGGCCGCCGCAGGCAGCGCAAAUACUCCCGUCAGGUCGGAGCAAUCAUCUGAGCCCAGCUGCACUCAACAGUCUACAGAGAAGACAGAAAAACACUUCGGAAAUUCUGUCCCGGACGCCGGAAAAAGAUCCAUCGCUACCUGGAAAGCGACCGCGUCGGCUAUGGGAAAGACUUCCGCGAGCGUAACUGAACCUGGCUACGCAGAUGAUUACACACAGUCUUCCAGAGACCGUUCUCCAACCGGCCACGUUCCA
Dermacentor silvarum is the source of this 490-nucleotide long non-coding RNA. RefSeq lists it as uncharacterized. NCBI's taxonomy places the organism in Eukaryota, Metazoa, Arthropoda, Arachnida, Ixodida, Ixodidae. The record is from RefSeq and is a predicted model, not a curated record. The transcript is spliced from 3 exons.